Molecule: long non-coding RNA, 2787 nt
Organism: Myodes glareolus (Bank vole)
Lineage: Eukaryota; Metazoa; Chordata; Mammalia; Rodentia; Cricetidae
Source: RefSeq, a predicted model, not a curated record
AGUCCAGCCUGUGUCUGUCUCAAUUACCUACCUUGAGGUCAUUUCAAGAAAUCCAGGUCUUGCCAGGCGGUGGUGGUGCACACCUUUAAUCCCAGCACUCAGGAGGCAGAGGCAGGUGGAUCUCUGUGAGUUUGAGGCCAGCCUGGUCUACAAGAGCUAGUUCCACCAAACUAGCACCAAAGCUACAGAGAAACCUUGUCUCGAAAAAUCCAAAAGAAAAAAAAGAAAAAAAAGAAAUCCAGGUCUUGGCCUGAACUAUUCAAGGGAAACUUGUCGACUGUCAGGUACAGUAGCAGCUUAGUAAACACUUAGAACACCUUUAAUCAUCUGGAUUUAACACACUUCUGUUCUCCACCAUGAGCCUACUGCACGGGGAUUCCACUUCACUUCUGGUGUCCUUGUGACACCCAGUCACAGAAGAGCCCCAUGGGCCCAGGAGACAAGCAGGGAGGCCUUCCAAGCUAGAGCUCCUCCUGCCCCAAAUCCUUAGGCAUCAGUGGAUCAGAGGUGGGAAGGGGACAGGGAGGAAGCCAUUCUAAGCUGAGAGCAGAUAUCAUACUGGUUUCUUUGAAAGACCACCUUCUUUAUUCAAUAGGCAACUGGGUUCUAUGAAUUCUUGCUUCCCACCCAUCUGACACAGCCAUCCAAUUCAAUCUGGGUUCUCUAGCAUUUGGAGUCCAACAUCCAGGGUUCAAGUGUCCUCACAGCAACCUGGCCCCGAAGAGCCCUCCUGGGCAUCUCACAGGUGGGAUGUCCAAUAUUCAUGUCCAUCAGGAAGGGGGAGGGAAAACCUUGACUCCUAAAGGUUUCUGGUUGGAAGGGGGACUCAAUUUCUGCAGUGUAUAUGUAGCAACCAGCAUUGGAACCGGGACUGGGAUUCCCCACAGGGUUGAACACUUCAAGAAAACUGGAUGACUGUUAUAUAUGCAGCCCACCCACCUAAAUCCCAAAAUAAAGAUUCAGGCUAUCAAACCAAAUUGUGCCUACCUGCCCAGGAAAUCUCAAGGGACCACAAAGGCUCUUGCCCGGCACAGUACAGUACAGUGGCACGAGAACUGUACUGAGAAUAAUGCAGGCGCAGGCAUUACAGAGUGGAUGAACAUGUGCUUGGUGUAGUUUUUCCGAGAACUGAAAGUCUUGCGGCAGUGACUACACUCAUAGGCGGGUUGCUCAGUACCCGAGGCACCGGAGACACGCACAGGAGGGCCUGAGAUGGCUGUUGCAGGAGCAGCAGGGGCAGCAGGCGGACACGUAACUAUCUGGGAACACAUCCUCGGUCACCGUAGUCCCCCGAAGGAAAUCUCUCCCGGCACCACCAUAAUCUGUGAUGCCAGUGGAUGCAGGCUGGUCCUCACGUGCACUGUCAGCUGUGGUGGUGAGGAAGCCCCCUGAGCAGUCGGGAAAAGCAAGGGGCGCCUGGCCCUCUCCCGGGCCUACGCCGCCACCUUCACCUUCUUCAGCGUCGGUCUCUUCAUCAGUCUCUUCGUCGUCAUCCUCUUCACCUCUGUCUUCAGGGGCGGCAGUCAGCGCAGGCUCGGUAUCCGGCCCCUCAGCCUUGAUAGGUGCUGGGGGCGCAGGCAGCUGCAGACGUGCAGGCUGGCGCUGUUUGCGGCUGUGCGCUGCGCUGGGGUGACCCGGGGGGCGGGCCGCCAGCAAGUGGCGUAGACGGUGGCGCAGUUGCGCGGGAGCAAGUGGCGGGGGCACGGGUGGUGGCAGAGGUGCAGGUGCCGGGGUGCUGGGGACACGGGCACGCGCUAUGAUUUGUGUGCACUCAUCAAUGACGGUUUGGAUGCGAAGCACCGAAGCUGCUGUGAGCACCUGUAGCGCUUCGCCCUGAGCCACCACCAAGGAGCCACUGUACAGGAACUCGACCAGCUGGCGCACCGUCUGCGCAGGCACAACUGGUGGCACACGUAUUUCUGAAUGGCCAAGCAAUAACUUAUCCUGGAAGAAGGGCGAGCCCGCGGCCAGCACGCAGCGGUGCGCACGCAGAGAAGCUUCACGGAUGCGCACAGUCACAUCGCAGAAGUGACCGCCUAGCCUCUGCCCAUUGAGGGUCUCCAGAAGUGAGCGCGAAAAGUUCUGUAAGUGGAUGUGGUGCACCGCCUCGGUCGCUGCCAUCUGCGGGAUGAGGAGACAAUGGGGAUUGGGCUAUCAGCUAAGGACUCUGCCAUCCUAUGUCCUGGUCCCUUUAAUCCUUAUCACAGAAUCCAACAAUGCAUCCCACCUCAUACAUCCCUCAUCAAAGUCCUUGAACCAACACAUAAAACACGUCAGCACUCCUGGCCUAGGUACUCCUCAAUGCCCUCUAUCCCUGCAACACCAGCAUAUAUAUCCCGUUUUAUGCCCCAAGAAGAUCUAGGCUUAGCCUCCUUCUGGGAACUUACCUAGCCCCCACCUUUAAUAUUUCUAAAUCACAGGACGCCCUCCUCUCAAGGGGAUGGUCUUCUUUAAAACAAAUGCCAGUAACUCCCAUUCAAAACUGGCUACCCUGUCUCACUGAGAACGACCUCCCCAGGAAAGCAAUAAGCUACUAUCUCACUUCCACCAAGCUACCCAUGACCCUUUCCUCUAUGGUUGUUUUCUUUCUUUUCUAUUCUCCCCUAGCCAGAUUUCCUUAUCCUAGCACCUCUAAGGCCCAAGAGUACUACCUUAGAAGCUCGUGCCAUUAGCUGCUGUGUGGGGGUGGAUGCACCUGCCUCCUGGCGAAUAUGGGAGCACCUCUUCAGGCUGGGCACCAGUGUCCCUCAUACCCAAGGAAAGCAAAUAAAUACUACCUAUAACAAA